This 254-nucleotide ribosomal RNA is filed under the name uncultured bacterium. RNAcentral's name for it is "partial 16S ribosomal RNA". It matches the Rfam family "Bacterial small subunit ribosomal RNA", at positions 1248 to 1500 of the family's 1533-position model. The record is from RNAcentral.
UGCAAGUCGGUGACGGCAAGCAAAUCUCUUAAAGCCAGUCUCAGUUCGGAUUGUAGGCUGCAACUCGCCUACAUGAAGUCGGAAUCGCUAGUAAUCGCGGAUCAGCACGCCGCGGUGAAUACGUUCCCGGGCCUUGUACACACCGCCCGUCACACCACGAGAGUUUGUAACACCCGAAGUCGGUGAGGUAACCUAUUAGGAGCCAGCCGCCUAAGGUGGGAUAGAUGAUUGGGGUGAAGUCGUAACAAGGUACC